Melitaea cinxia (Glanville fritillary) is the source of this 714-nucleotide long non-coding RNA. RefSeq lists it as uncharacterized. The transcript is spliced from 2 exons. NCBI's taxonomy places the organism in Eukaryota, Metazoa, Arthropoda, Insecta, Lepidoptera, Nymphalidae. The record is from RefSeq and is a predicted model, not a curated record.
AAUUUACAAUAAAUAACAUUCUACGAGGAAAAGAAUUAUUCCCAAUACACAGAUCUUUAGUUGUAUUCGUCGGUUAGUAAUAAUUUUCCUUUUAAAUGAGUGUUUACAUGCCCACGAAUAAACAAAGUUAAAUUUAAAAGAGCUAGGAUUUUUUUCUCGCUACCGUGAUUUAUUACACCUACAGAACCGCCCCAUUUAAAAGAACGUAGUUAGGAGUUUUAACACCUUGUUACUAUUUCGGGUAAAUAGUAACAAAAUAUUGCAUAAAAACAUUUAAAAAUGUAUGCAAUGUUUAUAAAAUCAAACUUCCCUUUUGUAGCGUUUAUUUUGGAUAAUGACUAAUUUGUUGUUUAGAUCUAAAUGUCGUAUGACCCUUCGAUGUGAUAACAAUAAGCUUUAUAUGUGAUACUUAUAUACUUGUAAUAUAUUCGUGUAACGUUGUUAUUAACAAUAUGUGUAUGUAUUUGUUAUUUAUAUUGACCUCCAUUUUGUAAAUGUUGCAACCUUGUAACAUAUAUAGUGGAAUCUAUAUAUUUUUAUCAUUUGCGAUAGUAUUCUUUACAUAAGUAUUAUUUCAUGAUUGUAUUAAGAUUUUUGUUGUUAAUUAAUUUUAAUUGCAAAAGUUUUUUAAACACGUAAUAUUUUAUUUUGUUGAACAAGUGGCCUUGUUUAUACGGUGAUUGAAAAAAAAUAUAUUAAAUUCUAUUAAGACUA